RNAcentral lists this ribosomal RNA (289 nucleotides) under uncultured bacterium. Its description in RNAcentral is "partial 16S ribosomal RNA". It matches the Rfam family "Bacterial small subunit ribosomal RNA", at positions 773 to 1060 of the family's 1533-position model. The record is from RNAcentral.
GUGGAUUAGAUACCCUGGUAGUCCACGCUGUAAACGAUGUCAACUGGGUGUCGGUAGUUUUACACUAUCGGUGCCGAAGCCAACGCGUUAAGUUGACCGCCUGGGGACUACGGCCGCAAGGCUAAAACUCAAAGGAAUUGACGGGGGCCCGCACAAGCAGCGGAGCGUGUGGUUUAAUUCGAUGCAACACGAAGAACCUUACCCAGGUUUGACAUGGUCGUAGUAGUGAACCGAAAGGGGAACGAGCCUUCGGGCAGCGAUCACAGGUGCUGCAUGGCCGUCGACAGCU